RNAcentral lists this ribosomal RNA (233 nucleotides) under uncultured bacterium. RNAcentral describes it as "partial 16S ribosomal RNA". It matches the Rfam family "Bacterial small subunit ribosomal RNA", at positions 118 to 347 of the family's 1533-position model. The record is from RNAcentral.
UGAGGAACAUGACCUUCGGCGGGGGAUAGCCGGCCCAACGGCCGGGUAAUACCGCGUACGACCACAUGGGGACAUCCCCGAGUGGUGAAAGCAGCAAUGCGCCGAUGGAGUGCCUCGCGGCCUAUCAGCUAGUUGGUGAGGUAACGGCUCACCAAGGCGACGACGGGUAGCUGGUCUGAGAGGAUGGCCAGCCACAUUGGGACUGAGACACGGCCAGACCUCCGUAGGGACGG